UAGUGAAGAACAAUAUUAGGCUUUACUUGUAUUGGUAAACGACAAACAGUUAUAACAUAUUAGUUACUUAAAACAGCAGCCAGCAAGGUGAAAGGUAGAAGGAAUAGAGACAAAGAGCAAGUAAAAAAAAUAAAGAACUUCCUUCCUGUGAGUACCAACAAGUUCAUAUGCAUAUAUAAGCAGUACUCUGAACUGCACAGCGCCAUCUACAGCUCAAGUGCUAAUUAUAUAGAAUUUAUACAGCACAUGCUGUUGUAUUUCCCAACAUUUCUUUCCCCACAGUCUCUAUGUGUCUCUUGUUUCCCUUUCCCAACCCCUUUGUGUAUUUUUUUUCUCUUCCCCAGCUCCUCUCUUUCUCCCCCAAGACCCUUUCUGUAUCUCUUUCCCCAUAGCCCCUCUGUGUGUCUCUUGUUCCUGUUUCCCAGAUCCUCUGUGUGUAUCUUUG
Molecule: non-coding RNA, 445 nt
Organism: Pelobates cultripes (western spadefoot toad)
Lineage: Eukaryota; Metazoa; Chordata; Amphibia; Anura; Pelobatidae
Source: the annotation of a GenBank genome assembly